RNAcentral lists this ribosomal RNA (478 nucleotides) under uncultured soil bacterium. RNAcentral describes it as "bacterial SSU rRNA". It matches the Rfam family "Bacterial small subunit ribosomal RNA", at positions 26 to 518 of the family's 1533-position model. The record is from RNAcentral.
AGGACGAACGCUGGCGGCGUGCUUAACACAUGCAAGUCGGAGGGGGCCAGCAAUGGUCACCGGCGAACGGGUGCGUAACACGUGAGCAACCUGCCGCAGAGUGGGGGAUAGCCGGCCCAACGGCCGGGUAAUACCGCAUACGAUCUCCGUGGGGGAGUCCCUGGGAGAUGAAAGAUUUAUCGCUCUGCGAGGGGCUCGCGGCCUAUCAGCUAGUUGGCGAGGUAACGGCUCACCAAGGCGACGACGGUAGCUGGUCUGAGAGGAUGGCCAGCCACAUUGGGACUGCGACACGGCCCAGACUCCUACGGGAGGCAGCAGUGGGGAAUAUUGCGCAAUGGGCGAAAGCCUGACGCAGCGACGCCGCGGUGGGGAGGAAGGUUUUCGGAUACGUAAACCCUGUUGCGUCGGACGAAUCCUUGCUUUGCAAGUUGACGGUACCGGUGAGGAAGCACGGCUAACUCCGUGCCGAGCAGCCGAC